Molecule: non-coding RNA, 10866 nt
Organism: Monodelphis domestica (gray short-tailed opossum)
Lineage: Eukaryota; Metazoa; Chordata; Mammalia; Didelphimorphia; Didelphidae
Source: RefSeq, a predicted model, not a curated record
GAGAGAGAGAGAGAGAGAAGCAAAGUAGGUGAUUCUGCUAUCUUAUCAGUGCUCAUUGGGGCUGGCUACAGAGUCUCUUUCUGGCAUACAUCUCUCUGGUUUGGUGCCAUCAAGCUGACCAGUCCUCUUGAGUGUCUUUUAUUGGCACUCUUAAUGUUUGUUGAUCUCUUUGUUUUUACAUCACUGUCCUCGGGUAUACAUCCCUCCCUCCUCUCCUGCCCAGUGAGCCAACUCUAGAGAUCAAGAACUUAAAAACAAACAAACAAAAAAAAAAUUCAGCAAAACUAACCAACACAGCAGCCUUGUCUAUCAGUGGGUCGAGUGCUGUGUGGUAUUUCACACUCAACAUCUUCCAAACUGAACUUAUUAUGUCAGCCCCAUUCCACCCCCUGCCAAGCUCUCUCCUUCUCUGAACCUUCCUCUUAUGCUGAGGCCACCUCCAUUCUCCAAGUCACCCAUGCUUGAAACCUUGUUAUCUUCCAUUUUUCACUCUCACUCAUCAAUGUGCUGGUAAAAGUUUAACAAUGCAUUCUUGGGAAAGUACACAGGAUACAUUUUAAAGUUUAUUCUGCAUAAUUAACGUUUUCUCCAUCGCUUUUCUAAGUCUAGACGAUCAACAAAACAAUAAAUCAAGCCCCGGUUUGUAGUAAUUGCUGAUUUCUGAAAUCUAAAUGCUCACACUGAAAAUAUAACAAUCAGUUCUUGACUGCUUAUUUUUUAACCCUUACUUUCUGUUCUAGAAUUAGUACUAAGUAUUGGUUCUAAGACAGAUGAGCAGUAAAGGGAUAGGCAAUGGGGGUUAAGUGACUUGCCCAGGGUCACACAGCUAGGAAGUAUUUGAGACCACAUUUGAAUCUAGAACCACCCUGUCUCCAGGUCUGGUUUUCUUUUCUCUGAGCCACCUUGCUGCCCCUCCAGCUCACUCUUGUUCCCAUGGACCCCACAUAUCCAAUUCAUUGCCAAAUCUUAUGGUUUCUAACUUCACAACUUUUCUUGCAUCUGUCCUCUUAUCUGCACUCACGUGAUCAUCUCCCUCAUAUAGAAUCUCAUUACUUCUUGCUUGGGCUAUUACACUAAGCCCUCUAAUAAGAUUCCCUUCCUUUACUCUCUCCCCAAUUGAAUCUAUCCUUACUUAUUUGCCAACGUGAUUGCCCUGAAGUCUAAGUGUACAUGAUGGGCUUUGGCCAGGCCCUUCGGCAACCCCCAUAGAAAGACAUGCUGAUGACAGGGAACAUAGUAAGAAUUUUACUAGGUGAGAGCAGGAAAAAAAACAAGGCUGUAAAAUGUAAAAUAGACAUGCUUCAAGUCACAUAAACCCUGUCUUGACUACUCUGGAGCUGAUACAACAUCCAGGCUUGGGGGAGAAAAGCAAAUGUAGGGAGAAAAGUCAUAGGUCUUCCGAUCAGAUGAGUCCCUUGCCUUGGGCAAGCUCCUAUAAGAUCCGAAGGAGGUGGGGAUGAGCUUCACCCUGGGGAACAGAGAGAAGCAGAGAGGGAUCUAUUUACUGAUUGCAUCUGUCAUUUAUGGGGUCUGAUCUUGUGUCAUUUAUCUUUGCCCUGUGCUGAGCAUUACAUACUUAACUAAGUAAAUCCUUUUAAAUAGACUCUUUGCUUAUGAUGGAUUAGUCAUUUUCAUUAUCACAGUACUGGAGGUUAGGAUGGCUGCCUCAGACUCAAUAUAAUAGUAGAUGUGUCCUUGUUACUCUCCUCAGAUUCCUAUUACCUCCAAGAUCAAAUAUAAACUCCUCUGUUUCUCAUUCAAAGGUCUUCACAACCUGACCCCUUCCUAUUUUCUCCAGACUUUGCCUAAGUGUUUUGACAUUUUCUAAGUACCAGUGGAGAACUUGGGUUGCUUAUCUGUAUUUCCUCAUUUUUAAUUUAUGUUAUAUGACUUUUCUGAUCACACAAUUCCAUGAUGAUGUCUUUUCUGCCAUUUCUGGAGUGAAAGGUAUAAUUGGUAACAUGCUACAGCCUACUUCUGCCCAUCACGAGUCACUUACAAUUAGGUGACCUAUAAUUUUGAUUCCUUGGAGAUUUUGGUAUUCCAUGAUUCAUAAGUAUAUAACAUCACCAAAAGAAUCUUGGUGUUAAAGGCAUCAUUGAAAGUACUUCGCAAUGUCUCAAAAGCAAUUGAAUCCACUCUUUUCCAUUCCACUCUUCAAAUUCUCUUCAAUUAUGGGUCCCAUUCCUUGCCCAGCUGGAGUGACUGCCCAACUAAUUCUCAAUGACUACCUACCCAACUAUAUGUCAUCCUUGCAACAGGCAUCUUUUGUUCAUUUAGCUUUUUCUAUGUGCAUUUUUAGUCCAAGCUCCUUUGAUUUUCCUCAUUGAAGAAGCCCUGGGGCUUGGCACAAAUAGUCUGGUAUCAUUCACAAACAGGUCAUCUAGAAGAAAUUUCUCAUUCAUUUGUAUUAGGCACUGGAUAUCCUCUAUAACCAUGGCUAAUACUUUGAUGAGUGCCAUGGGCAAAGUCCAGCCUUGCCCAUGACUCCAGGGUUUCCGGACCAAUCAGUCAACAAAAAUAACAAAUGGAAGACAGCUUAAUCAUAACAGCCAUGGGAUUGCUUUGCAUGUAACAGCUGCUCUGCCAUCCUGAUGUCUGAUCUUUAUUUUUAUACCCAUUUUCUUGGCAUGCAAAUAUGCAAAAUCAAAGAGAGAUAAUUGGAAAAGUGAUACAUCAACUUUUAACAAAUCACUUGAUUAACAUCCUAUAUUUUUGUAUUGUGAUUAAAGACAGAAUAAAGGUUACACACAAGAUAAAUGAUUUCGUCACAGGUAGCUUAAUUUUCUCAUUACCCUGUGAGAAGUUUUGAGCUUACAAUCAAGGAAAAUUACUUAUUGCUUUUAAUAAAAUGGAAUAAUUAAUCAGCAGUUCUUAAAAGACAAUUCAACAAUCAUAUCACUGAGAUUGAGGGGUACUGGGAACAUAAUUCAAAUGUAGACUGGUGGCUUCUAGGGAGUUUCUCUGUUACUGAUUUGUGUAAUUGAAUCACUGAGGCAUACUGAAGCUUGAUGUACUUGUACUUAUCAAUUGGGCCUCUAUGAUUGAUUUGUGUGCUGACUUCAUGAGAAUAGGUUUCUAUGAGUGGAGAAGUUCUGGGCUUGGCCUGUAGCUGUGGUUUUGCUGGGAAUUAUGUACCUAAGUAAAAGUUAACCCAUGAUAGUCUUUUUGGGGUUGGGUUUAAGGGUCUGAUCUUUUAGUGAUGUUUUGGAGAAUUAGGGUACAGGUGUUUUGCUCUUGCAUUAUUUCUUUUGAGACUAGGGGGAAUAAUAAUCAUGCCAAUUCAUAGGUAAGGGCCAUUGAUGAAAGAGGUCAUGUAAAGGGGGGUUGAGUGGGCAAUCACAUCUUGACAAGGACCACUCUGUGGUCUCCCCAGCUAUCACACAUGACUCUGUCAAGGUGUUGUGGUCUGAUGGCUCCCAGCAGAUGAGCAUGCAUUUCCCUGUUUUACACAUUGCUCAAAAUUUACAGUCAAAGAAUCAUUGAAUGAAUUUCUCUUUGUGGUUUUAUCCAUCAAAGAAUCUUGCAUAUCUAACAUUAGAACCCCUGCUGGACCCAGAGAGGCUGAGUUAGAUCCUGCAUCCCCCCCUCUCUCUAAAGAACCCCUCUUCUCUGGAUCCCCUACACAUGUUCUUUAUAGCUUUUAUUCUAAGGCAUCUGAACCACUUAGAUAAACAGAUUUCUUUUCUCACCUUCUUCAAUUUGUCAAACUUCCACCCAGACAUUUUUCUUUAACUCUUACCUUCUUUCGUAGAACCGACACCAAGUAUUAGUUCCUAGGCAAAAGUGCAUCAAGGGCUAGGCAACUGGUGUUAAGUGACUUGCCCAGAAUCACACAGCUAGAAAGUGUCUGAGGCCACAUUUGAAACCAGGAAUUCCUGUCUCUAGGCCUGGCUCUCUAUCCACUGAGUCAUCUAACUGUCACCCAUCCUGACAUCUUAGAGAAAAAUUAUUUACUUAGAUUUGGACUUAUGUUUCAGUCUCCCCAAAGGGGAAAAAUGUUACUUAAUGGACAUAGAAAAUCAGACAUGAGACAGAUGUUUAUUUUCUUUAUUCAAAAGAAAUACUAACAGACACAAAAGACAGAACAACUUAAAGGACUUCUAAAACAGUAAACAUAGUGACUACAAUUGGUUGGGAGACUGAUACUUAAUCCUCAUGUAAAUAAGAAGCAAUUUGCAGGACAGCUGAUUAGAAAGUUCUCCUUUCACCUUGCCUCUGCACUGUCUCCCUCAAAGUUCAUGUGUUUUAAUAAGCCAGGUCAGGACUUUGGGGCCCUUCUCCGAUUAGUAGCUGUCCUUACAGAUGCAGAAGUUUCCUUUACUGUCAGUCAAGUCAAUACAUGGUAUUGAUUCCAAGACAGAAGGUAAUGAUUUAAAAAGAAAAAAGAAAGGCUAUGUCAAUUAAUUGCUACUUUCAGCAUCUUUAUGAUUUUCCAGGCCAAAAUAUUCCUUCCUGCCCAUGAUUCUCCUAUAUAUAUUGACUUUUCCUAUUAGACUGUAAGCUCCUUGAGGGCAGUGACUGUAUUAAUUUUUUAUAUUUGUACUCCUGAUAAUUAAUAAAGUAUAUGAUACAUGGUAAAUAUAGAUUUUUAAACCUUUACCUUCCACUAUAGAAUCAAAACUAUGUACUGUUUCCAAGAAGAGCGGGAAGGACUAAGCAAUGGGAGUUAAGUGGCUUACCCACAGUCACAUGGCUAGGAAGUGUCUGAAGUCAAAUUUGAACCCAGGACCUCCUGUCUCUAGACUUGCUCUCAAUCUACUGAGCCAUCCAACUGCCCCCAUGUGCUACCUAGCUUCCUUGAGUUCUUGGACCCUGCUAAAGAGCUGUAAGAGGUGGAGUCAACAAGCAUUGAGGUUUCUGGGAGGAAAUGGAACCUUAAGGACUCAGGUAAGGGAAAUUGAAGAGCUUGACCUUGGAAGUUUCAAAAGACAGGAGAAUGAGCUAUCAGAAGUCCAGGUGUCUGGAAUUAAGCUCAUGUGGGAUUUUGCAACCACCCUAGCAGCAACGACCAAGAGAGGUACAAGAUGGCACAGUGGACAUUAGACCUGAAGUCAGAAAGAUCUCUAUGGUGGCUACCAGGCAAAUAUUUCCUAGUUUGGCCAUAAACAGAUUUUCAUCUACUAAUCUAUGAUCUCAGCCACAAAUAUUCUAACAUUAAAAUUGAAAGACUAAUGAAAUGGAGACAUGAUCUGAUAAUCAUAAGAGAAUUCAUACCACAAGUCAAAUAGUCAUUCCCACUAUAUUUAAGACUUCAUAUCAGUUUUAUUUUCACAAUGUUCUUGAAACUCUUGAUAAGUAAGACUUCAUGGAGGGAUGUUUUGCAUUACUAGGGAUAUUUGUUACAAGGGUUUUGUUUUUCUAAUGGGGGUAGAUUGAGGAGCAUAGGGGAGAUGAUGGAAGAGAAAGAAAAUAAAUAUAAAUAUUUCAUUUUAAAAAAUACUUCAUUUAAAAAAAGAUCACCUGGGUUAGGAAAAGGUAUACCAUAAUGCUACUUGAUGAAAAUUAUCCAAUAAUCUGAAGCAAAUAUUUUUAUUAAUGCAUAAUAAAUCCACCCAAAUGAUCAUCAUACCUACUAGUAAUUAAAUACAGUCAUUUUGUGCUCCAAUCUGGACUAAUAAUAACAUAACUCAAAGUAUUCCUUUACUAAAUUAAAAAAAAACAUGCCUUGAUCAUGGCAUGGAAGCAGUCCUUUGUCUUCACUGGACUUCAGCACUGUAGUACAAAUUCUAUUAGGUCUUAGAACAAUGGAAAUCCCCCUUUUUAGAAAUUUAAACCCUUACCUUCCCUCUUAGAAUCAAUAGUGUGUAUUGGUUCCAAGGCAGAAGAGUGGCAAGGGCUAGGCAAAGGGGGUUAAGUGACUUGACCAGGGUCACAUAGCUAGGAAGUGUCUGAGGUAUUAUAUUUAAAUUAAUAUCUCCAAGUUCUUAUUUUCCAUAAAGUUUAUUAAUAUUCACUUGAAAUAGAUAAGGGAGAUAAGCAUAGAUUUAAAGUCUCUUCCUUACUCUAAGUCUGACCAUGUGUAGCCCAUUCUGCCAGAUCCCUUGGUCCAGACCUUUACUUGCCUCCUCAAGGAAGUAGAGAGUGACCACCUAUACCCUUUUAUUUAGGUGCCCAGAGGCAGUGCUGGCAUGUAAAAAUGGAAUGGAUCAGGCUGGCAAUCCAGGAGGGGGAGGGGAUUAAAUUCCCUCUACACAGAGGUCAGACUUGAACGUAGGAUCUCUGAUCUCUAGGCCUGGCUCUCAAUCCACUGAGCCACCCAGUUUCCCCAAAAACCUUUUUAAGGAUGGAUCUGCUAAAACACAGUAUGAGUGUCACCCAAGAACAUUGUUGUUGCCAUUGUUCAGUCAUUUUGAUCACAUCCAACUCUAUGUGAUCCCAUUUGGGGUUUUCUUGGCAAAGAUACUAGAGUGGCUUGCCAUUUCCUUGUCUAGCUCUUCUUAUAGAUGAGGAAACUGAGACCAAAAAAGGGUUAAGUGACUUGCCCAGGCUACACAGGUAGGAAGCAUCUGAGGUAAAAUUUGCACCCAGGAAGAGCAGUCUUCCUGACUCCAGGCCUGGAACUCUAUCUGCUAUGCCACCUAACUAUCCAUUCAUUUGCUAUGAUUAUUACCUAUACAAGUAGAGCCAAAAGGGAUCUUAGUGAUGAUCAACUCUAAACCUUGUCAGUUUACAGAUGUAGAAAAUGAGACCCCCAAAAGGUUAAAUGCUUUGCCCAAGGUCAUAUAAAUAUGGAAAUAAUAGAACCUGGAUUCAAAUUCAGGCUGUUUGACUCCAGAUCUAACAUUCUUUACAUAGGAGCAUAUCUGUUUCUCUGCCUCUGUCUAUGUUUAUCUCUCUUUCUCUGUAUCUCAUAAAAACAGAGCAGCUAAUAAAUUCUUGCUACCUUGAUGAUCACUUCAUUUCUCUAUAGAUAAAGGAAGUUACAAGGAGAACCACUAUUCUGGGCCUGAUUGUGACCAGUAAAAAUAAAUUGAUUGUUUCUUUUUGUUUGAAUCAGAAACAAUGGGAAACUUGCAAGAAAUAACUGCACCAUUUUAGAAUUCUUAAUGAAUGAGGAGGAAACAGUCAGGCAGAGUCCAAUCUGUACCCUAGAUUUUUAGAAGUUAGUUCUCAAAAAGUUUAGCAAAAGUCUAGGUAGAGGGGCAGUUAGGUAGUUCAAUGGAUAAAGAGCCAAGCCUGGAGACCAGAGGUCUUGGUUCAACUGUGACCUCAGACACUUCCUAACUGUGUGAGUCUGGCCAAGUUACUUAACCCCAAUUGUCUAGCCCUUUCUGCUCUUCUGCCUUAAAAUUGAUUCUCAGUAUAAAUUCUAAAACAGAAGGUAAGGGUUUAAAAAUGAAAGAAAGAAAAGACAAUUAAUUACUUGGUAAAAGAGGCAUAGAAAUUACUGAAGAAAAUAGCAUUAAAAAAAAAACAGAAUUGGCCAAAUGGUAUAAGAGAUACAAAACUUCACUAAUCAAAAUAAUUUCUUAAAAGGCAAAAUUGACCAAAUUGGGGGGGGGAGGUACAAGAACUUACUGAAACAAACAAUUACUUAAAAAUUAGAAUUGGGCAAGUGGAAGCUAGUGUCUAUAUGAAACAUCAAGAAACAAUAAAACAAAGUAAAAAGAAUUUUAAAAAAUAGAAGAAAACAUAAAAUAUCUCAUCAGAAAAAAAAACAACUGACCUGGAAAAUAGAUUGAUUAAAGGUAAUUUAAGAAUCAUUGGACUAGGGGAAGCUAGGUAGCAUAGUAGAUAGAGCAUCAAGCUUUGAGUUGAGAAGACCUGGAUUCAAAUCUGAUCUCAAACACUUCUUAACUAUGUGACCUGAGCAAGUCACUUAAUCCCAAUUGCCUAGCACUUGUGACUCUCCUAUUUAGAAAUGAUACUAAGAAAGAAGGUUAGAGUUUUUUAAAAAAAGAAUUAUUAGACUACAUGAGAGCCAUCAUGAGAAAAAAGGCUAGACAUUAUAUUUCAUGAAAUUAUGAAAUUUUAUCCAGAGGAUAAAAUAGAAAUUGAAAUAUUCUCCCAAGAUCCUAAAAUGAAAACUCUCAGUAAUAUUAUGGCCAAAUUUCAGAGUUCUCAGAUAGAGGAGAAAAUACUGCAAGUAGCCAGAAAGAAAGAAUUUAAAUAUUAUGGGCCUACAGUCAGGAUCAUAUAAGAUUUAGUAGCUUCUAUGUUAAAGGAGUAGAAGGCUUAGACUAUGAUAUUCCAGAAGACAAUGGAGCUAUGAAUACAACCAAGAAUAACCUACCAAGUGACAAUGAGUAAAAUCCUUCAGGGGAAAAAUUGAUAUAUAAUAAAAUAGAGGUCUUUCAGGCAUUUCUAAUGAAAAGACUAGAGCUGAAUUUUAAAAAAAUUGAACUUUUAAACACAGGGCUCAAGAGAAGCAUAAAGACAUAAACAGGAAAGAGAAAUCAUAAGGACUCCUUACAUUUCUUUAUGGAAAGAUGGUACAUAUAACUCCUAAGAACUUUAUCAUUAUUAGGGUAGUUAGAAGGCAUAGUUGUGAGUCAAUUAUGUUGGAAUGAUCUAAAAAAAAAGGAGUGAGAAUGAGGGAUGCAUUGGGAGAGGAGAGAAGAGAGAGACAGAUGGGGAAAUUUUUCUCACAUAAAAGAAACACACAAGGUAGAGAAAAUGGGGCAGGGUGGCAGGCAAUGCUUGAACCUCAUUCUCAUCAGAAUUAGAAUUGGUUCAAAGAGGGAAGUAUUUAUGUACACUCUCAGUUCAAUAUAGAAAUCACUCUUUCCCAACAGAAAUAUGAGGUAAAGGAGAUAGGAGAAAGAGGGGAGAAUGAUGGAAGGUGGAUUAAAGGAAGCAGUGGUCAGAAACAACACAAUUUUGAGGAGGAACAGGGGAGGGGGAGAGAGAGAGAGAGAGAAUGAGAGAGAGAGAGAGAGAGAGAGAGAGAGAGAGAGAGAGAGAGAGAGAGAGAGAGAAGGAUAAACAAAAGAAAACAGGAUUGAGGGAACUACACAACUAGUAACCAUAUCUGGGAAUGUGAAUGGGAUGAGCUUGCCCAUAAAACAGAAGUAUAUAGCAGAAUGGAUUAGAACAUAGAAUGCAACAAUAUGUUGUUUACAAGAGACACUUGAAACAGAAAGACACACACAGAUUUAAAAUAAGAUGCUGGAACAAAAUCUAUUAUGUUUCAGCUAAAGUAAAAAAGGCAGUCAUGAUCUCAAACAAAAUUAAAGCAAAAGGAGACCUAAUUAAAAGUGAUAAUUAGGAAAACUAUUUUUUGCUUUAAAAAAGCACCAUAGACAAUGAAGCAAUAUAAAUUUUUUUUAUUGCAGGUAUCUCUGAUAAGGGCCUCAUUUCUCAAAUAAAUGGGGAACUGAGUGAAAUAUAAAAGCAAGAGCCAUUCUCCAAUUGAUAAAAGAUCAAAGGAGAGUAAAGAAAGGGCAGAAGGAUCUAUAUGUACACAAAUAUUUAUAGCAGCUCUUCUUGUGGUUUUCAGAAGAAUAAUUAAAGCUAUCUAUAGUCAUAUGAAAAAAUGUUCUAAAUCACUAUUGCUUAGAGAUAUACAAACUACUCUGAGUUGUGUUAUAAGGAAAGGAAGGAGCAAAAGAUCCUGCAAAGGCAGAAGCAGGAAGGUUCUAGAACUCUGGAGAAGUGACAGGGCUGUUGCUUCUUCUAAGAGAAAGUUGAGCAGGCAGAAGGUUGAGUUUCUGUCUAGUCUUCUAGGAUGGACCUAGAGAGCUAGAUAUUCUCUCUCCUGUGACUUUCCUUGUGAUCCAACCUGUUCCUGUGUAUCCUGUGGACUGAUUGAGAUAUUCCUACUGAGCUGCUGAAGACACCAAAAGCCAUCUGUCAGUGAGACCAUCCCUUUGAGUCCUGUUCCUGCUUACCUUCCUACCCUACUACCUCUAUCAUCCAAGGGGAAAUUUGGGUUAGAGAAGUAUAUUGUAUUAUAGGAAUUGGGACCUUUAGGUAGAGAGGUGACUGACAGUGCAGAUACCAUCUCUCUGAGGUUUAUCAGUUUGUUUUGAGGGGAGAUUUAUUUAUGUUCUUUAGUUAUCCCAUAAUCUUUUUAUAUUUUCCUUGGUUAUUAAAUCAAACUGUCCUUUUAUUAUGUAGUAUCUGUGUUUAUUAACUCAGGGUCUGACUCUGGACUGGUAUACCCUUCCCAAACCAGAUUACUGGCCCUAUAAUACCACCCUUGAACCUACAAGUGUCAAAUUCGUUAUUUCAAUUAGGUAUUUCAGUCAUCACCUCACAUCUAUCAGAAAUAAUAAAUACUGUAGAGGAUGAAGGAAAAUAAAUAGCUACACUAAUGAACUCUUAGUAGAUUACAAUCAUUCUGUAGAACAAUUUGGAAGUAGGCCCCAAAAGCUAUAAUAUCGUGUAUAACCUUGGACCCAGCAAUAUCACUUGUAGAUCUGUGCCCCAAAGAAGUAAAAGGAAAAGGGAAAGGAUUGACAUAUUAAAAAAAUACUUAUGACAGUUCUGUCUGUGAUGGCAAAGAACUGGAAUCUGAAGGGAUAUCCAUAAAUUGGGUUGUGGUAUAUGAUUGUGAUGGAGUACUAUGGUGCUAUAAGAAAUGACAAGGGGAUGGUUUCAGAAAAACAUGGGAAGAUCUAUUUGAACUGAUAUGAAGUGAAAUGAGAAGAACCAGGAAGUCAUUGUACACAGUAACAAUAAUAUUGGGAUGAUGAUCAGCUAUGAAAGACUUAGUUACACUGAUAAAUACAAUGAUCCAAGAUAAUUCCAAAGGACUCAUGAUUUUUAAAAAAUGCUAUCUAUAUUACAAAGCAGCAGUCAUCAAAACAAUUUGGUACUGGCUAAGAAACAGAAAGGAAGAUCAGUGGAAUAGACUGGGGGAAAGCGACCUCAGCAAGACAGUAUACGAUAAACCCAAAGAUCCCAGCUUUUGGGACAAAA